CGAGUACCCUAAGAAAACGUUCUAGGGAAAUUCCAAUAGGACAGAGAGUUUGGUCACGAGCAGACGCUUCCCCGAGCAGCCGGGGUGGGGAGAGGUCCAUGGUUUGGUGUGGAGAUUACUGAUGAAGAGUUUGAGGUCUGAGUUGCUGCUUCACAGAAUCCUCCCUGAUGAAGACGAAAAUGUCGGAUACAUGCUGUUCACGGCCAUGUUUGAUUCUCGGGUAACACCGUAUCUUUAAUGCUUCACUGCCGGAGGGAACUCAGACUGGCUUAGAGCUCAGAGGAAGAAAGGCCUGAAAGGCCUUCUUCAUAUUCCGCACCCAGAGCCGGCAGACACGGUGUAAGACGUGUGUC
Molecule: long non-coding RNA, 353 nt
Organism: Artibeus jamaicensis (Jamaican fruit-eating bat)
Lineage: Eukaryota; Metazoa; Chordata; Mammalia; Chiroptera; Phyllostomidae
Exons: 3
Source: RefSeq, a predicted model, not a curated record